Molecule: long non-coding RNA, 257 nt
Filed under: Hordeum vulgare
Lineage: Eukaryota; Viridiplantae; Streptophyta; Magnoliopsida; Poales; Poaceae
Description: long non-coding RNA (HVUL_LNC014682)
Source: RNAcentral
GUCUGGACAAGGGGGAAGGGUCCCUCUUAGACGAGCGAGAAGGAGGUUGUGUGGUCUUUUGGCUCCUGAUGUCGUCAACGGUUAGUUUGUUCUCUUAGCGUUGGGCGACACUCUAGUUGUUUCGACCUUCUGCUUCGAUGUUCAAGCAUGUAUGGCAAUGCCUUAGUACAGCUGUUCUUAAUCUUUUACAUUUCUUUUUUGCUUGUGGAGUGUCUUGUACUGUAAACUGGCUCUCAGCAAUUAUGUAUUCCCUUCGU